CCUACGGGAGGCAGCAGUGAGGAAUAUUGGUCAAUGGACGAGAGUCUGAACCAGCCAAGUAGCGUGAAGGAUGACUGCCCUAUGGGUUGUAAACUUCUUUUAUAAAGGAAUAAAACGAGGCACGUGUGCCUUUUUGCAUGUACUUUAUGAUUAAGGAUCGGCUAACUCCGUGCUAGCAGCCGCGGUAAUACGGAGGAUCCGAGCGUUAGCCGGAUUUAUUGGGUUUAAAGGGAGCGUAGAUGGGUUGUUAAGUCAGUUGUUAAAGUUUGCGGCUCAACCGUAAAAUUGCAAUUGAUACUGGCAGUCUUGAGUACAGUUGAGGUAGGCGGAAUUCGUGGUGUAGCGGUGAAAUGCUUAGAUAUCACGAAGAACCCCGAUUGCGAAGGCAGCUUACUAAACUGUGACUGACAUUGAUGCUCGAAAGUGUGGGUAUCAAACAGGAUUAGAUACCCGGGUAGUC
RNAcentral lists this ribosomal RNA (460 nucleotides) under uncultured bacterium. Its description in RNAcentral is "partial 16S ribosomal RNA". It matches the Rfam family "Bacterial small subunit ribosomal RNA", at positions 338 to 795 of the family's 1533-position model. The record is from RNAcentral.